Molecule: non-coding RNA, 29 nt
Filed under: Homo sapiens (human)
Lineage: Eukaryota; Metazoa; Chordata; Mammalia; Primates; Hominidae
Source: RNAcentral
UCCAGAGCAGGGAUGAUGGCACAGGUUGA